AUUACGGCGGCGACCUACUCUCCCACACCGUACCCAGUGCAGUACCAUCGGCGCUGAAGAGCUUAGCUUCCGGGUUCGGAAUGGGACCGGGCGUUUCCUCUUCGCUAUAACCACCGUAAC
This 120-nucleotide ribosomal RNA is filed under the name Kibdelosporangium aridum. Lineage: Bacteria; Bacillati; Actinomycetota; Actinomycetes; Pseudonocardiales; Pseudonocardiaceae. The record is from RNAcentral.